GUGCGGGUAGCUCAACGUCAGAGUGCUCGAUUGAUUGCUUCGGCAGUCACCGGGAGAAGAUGGUUCGACUCCAUCCCCGCACACCA
This 86-nucleotide transfer RNA is filed under the name Verrucomicrobiota bacterium. Its description in RNAcentral is "Verrucomicrobia bacterium tRNA-OTHER". It matches the Rfam family "tRNA". From Rfam's summary of the family: Transfer RNA (tRNA) molecules are approximately 80 nucleotides in length. Their secondary structure includes four short double-helical elements and three loops (D, anti-codon, and T loops). RNAcentral also lists the same sequence under 1 other name. The record is from RNAcentral. Lineage: Bacteria; Pseudomonadati; Verrucomicrobiota.